Molecule: ribosomal RNA, 489 nt
Filed under: uncultured soil bacterium
Lineage: Bacteria
Description: bacterial SSU rRNA
Rfam family: Bacterial small subunit ribosomal RNA
Source: RNAcentral
AGAUUGAACGCUGGCGGCAGGCCUAACACAUGCAAGUCGAGCGGUAGAGAGGUGCUUGCACCUCUUGAGAGCGGCGGACGGGUGAGUAAUGCCUAGGAAUCUGCCUAGUGGUGGGGGAUAACGUUCGGAAACGGACGCUAAUACCGCAUACGUCCUACGGGAGAAAGCGGGGGACCUUCGGGCCUCGCGCCAUUAGAUGAGCCUAGGUCGGAUUAGCUAGUUGGUGAGGUAAUGGCUCACCAAGGCGACGAUCCGUAACUGGUCUGAGAGGAUGAUCAGUCACACUGGAACUGAGACACGGUCCAGACUCUACGGGAGCAGCAGUGGGAAUAUUGGACAAUGGGCAAAGCCUGAUCCAGCCAUGCCGCGUGUGUGAAGAAGGUCUUCGGAUUGUAAAGCACUUUAAGUGGAGAAGGUUGUAACUUAAUACGUUGACAACUUUGACGUUACCGACAGAAUAAGCACCGGCUAACUUCGCGCCAGCAGCCG